This 497-nucleotide ribosomal RNA is filed under the name Pyrochroidae sp. UPOL ZL0035. RNAcentral describes it as "partial 16S ribosomal RNA". The stretch from base 371 to 497 matches the Rfam family "Bacterial large subunit ribosomal RNA", at positions 2473 to 2600 of the family's 2925-position model. Lineage: Eukaryota; Metazoa; Arthropoda; Insecta; Coleoptera; Pyrochroidae. The record is from RNAcentral.
UUUAAAGUCUGGCCUGCUCAAUGAUUAAAUUUAAAUAGCCGCAGUAUUUUGACUGUGCAAAGGUAGCAUAAUCAUUAGUUUUUUAAUUGAAAGCUAGAAUGAAAGGUUUGAUGAAAAAAUAUCUGUCUCAAUAUUAGUGAAUUAAAAAUUUAUUUUUAAGUAAAAAAGCUUAAAUUUUUUAAAAAGACGAGAAGACCCUAUAGAGUUUUAUAUAAUUUAUUAAAUUGUAUUUUUUAGAAUAUAAAAUUUUAAUUUAAAAAUUAUAUUUUAUUGGGGUGAUAAAAAAAUUUAUUUAACUUUUUUAAGAAUUAACAUAAAUAAGUGAGUUUAUGAUCCUAAAAUUUAGAUUAUAAGAAAUAAUUACCUUAGGGAUAACAGCGUAAUUUUUUUAAAGAGUUCAAAUCGAAAAAAAAGAUUGCGACCUCGAUGUUGGAUUAAAGAAAAUUUUUAAUGUAGAAGUUAAAAUUAUAGGUCUGUUCGACCUUUAAAUCUUUACA